UGCAACCUGAACAAGGUUUGUGAGCACCUAGCUUAAUCCUUCUGUAUGGAUCCUACAAGCAGAAGUCAUCCACAUCACGUUUUAAUAUUCUGGAGUAUUGUUUCAUCCCUAGCUCCACUUGCAGCUCAAAACCUGUGCAUACCAUAGUUUGCACAACUAGCAGACCCCUAGAAUCUGUUGCAUGGAGUGAGCUACCUUUUUUUUGCAGGAUCAUGGAGUGAGCUACCAAAUAGACAUGUAACAAAAACAAUAUUUUCUUUCAUCUUGAUAUAAAUAUAAUUGUGCUAUUGGGUCUUUAGUGGAAUAGAUGUGCAAAGCAACAAUGAUAUACCUUGUCAACGGAAGUACCUUGUUCAAUAUAGAAUACUCUAAAUUUUGAACCGUAUA
Molecule: long non-coding RNA, 387 nt
Filed under: Triticum aestivum (bread wheat)
Lineage: Eukaryota; Viridiplantae; Streptophyta; Magnoliopsida; Poales; Poaceae
Description: long non-coding RNA (TAES_LNC018410)
Source: RNAcentral